GUACACACCGCCCGUCACACCAUGGGAGUUGGGAAUGCCCGAAGCCGGUGACCUAACCGAAAGGGAGGGAGCCGUCGAAGGCAGGCUUGAUAACUGGGGUGAAGUCGUAACAAGGUAUC
RNAcentral lists this ribosomal RNA (119 nucleotides) under uncultured bacterium. RNAcentral's name for it is "partial 16S ribosomal RNA". It matches the Rfam family "Bacterial small subunit ribosomal RNA", at positions 1383 to 1500 of the family's 1533-position model. The record is from RNAcentral.